GUAAGUUAUUUAAUGAGCCCUCGUGUCAGAGAAAGAACGCUCUGGGAAAACCCUUUCUGACCUUCCUUACCGCUCACCUUGACUGGGGCGCCUGCCACGUCAGUCACUCUUCUGAUCAAGAACGGCAGGAGGCUCGUGAGACUGGCACGUUAAAAGAAAGCGGCCCUCUUUUUCUUUUGUUGUUUCUCAUUUUGAUUUCUUCUUCCUCUCCACUACCUCUGAAAGGCAAGGAGUAGAAUGGGGCCCGCUUUUCGGGUCUACUUCUUACUCCCAGGCCACAUCAAAACAACAAUGCAGAAAUGCUGAAAGCUCCAGCUUCGGCACCACCUGAGAGCUUGUUAGAAAUGCAGGAUUUCAGGCUCCGCCCCAGGUCUAUUGAAUUAGAACAUGCAUUUUAACAAGACCUCAGCUGAUUCGGUUUGCUCGGGCACAGAGUUGUUCUACAUUUUCCAGCCUCCCUUGCAGUUUCUUGGUAGCUAAGUAUUGGCGGUGAAGUAACUGAAUUCUAGCUGAAGAAAUGAGCUUGGGCGUGAUGUGUUCCACUUCCAAGUCUGACCCAAGACCUUCAUGCUCUCUCCCCCACUGCCGACCUGAUGCAGAUGUAUGUGGCGGCUUGAAGUCACAUAUUGAGGCUGGUGGAACCACAGGAUGGAAGGAGUGUAGGUUCCUGAAUCCCUGCUUGGAGGAAAGCCAGCUGCUCAGCAGACUUUCGUGCAACUUUAGAUUGUACACGAG
Long non-coding RNA from Bos taurus (domestic cattle), 735 nucleotides. Lineage: Eukaryota; Metazoa; Chordata; Mammalia; Artiodactyla; Bovidae. The record is from Ensembl.